This 292-nucleotide ribosomal RNA is filed under the name uncultured Desulfobulbus sp. RNAcentral describes it as "partial 16S ribosomal RNA". It matches the Rfam family "Bacterial small subunit ribosomal RNA", at positions 1093 to 1382 of the family's 1533-position model. The record is from RNAcentral. Lineage: Bacteria; Pseudomonadati; Thermodesulfobacteriota; Desulfobulbia; Desulfobulbales; Desulfobulbaceae.
CGAGCGCAACCCUUGCCUUUAGUUGCCAGCAGUUCGGCUGGGCGACUCUAAAGGGAACUGCCGGUGUUAAACCGGAGGAAGGUGGGGAGUGACGUCAAGUCCUCAUGGCCUUUAUGACCAGGGCUACACACGUACUACAAUGGCCGAUACAAAGGGCAGCGACACUGCGAGGUGAAGCCAAUCCCGUAAAAUCGGUCUCAGUCCGGAUUGGAGUCUGCAACUCGACUCCAUGAAGUUGGAAUCGCUAGUAAUCGUGGAUCAGCAUGCCACGGUGAAUACGUUCCCGGGCCUU